RNAcentral lists this ribosomal RNA (479 nucleotides) under uncultured bacterium. Its description in RNAcentral is "bacterial SSU rRNA". It matches the Rfam family "Bacterial small subunit ribosomal RNA", at positions 32 to 518 of the family's 1533-position model. The record is from RNAcentral.
AACGCUGGCGGCGUAGCUUAACACAGUGCAAGUUGAACGGGACGGAUAUUGAAGCGACUUUUCGGAGUGGUGGAUAUAUUGUUUAGUAGCGGACGGGUGAGUAAUGCAUGAGAACCUGCCCUCAGAGGGGGACAACAGUUGGAAACGGCUGCUAAUACCCCAUAUGCCGAGAGGUGAAAGGAGCGAUCCGCUGAAGGAGUGGCUCAGUGUCCUAUCAGCUAGUUGGUGAGGUAAGUGCUCACCCAAGGCGAUGACGGGUAGCCGGCCUGAGAGGGCGACCGGCCACACUGGAACUGAGAUACGGUCCAGACUCCUACGGGAGGCAGCAGUGGGGAAUAUUGGGCAAUGGGCGGAAGCCCUGACCCAGCGACGCCGCGUGAGGGAAGAAGGCCUUUGGGUCGUAAACCUCUGUUGUAUGGGAAGAAGGAAGUGACGGUACCAUACGAGGAAGUCCCGGCUAACUACGUGCCAGCCGCUGC